AAGAAUUUGCUAAAAAAGAGGGAAAUACUACUACUUUCAUGUUAGCACACCUUUUUAGUUUAUCAACAAUUUACUUUACCGAUGGAAAAUUAAAUCAGAAAGUACAUUAUUUUAGCAACUAUUAAUUAUGUUUUCCUAUUUUUCUCCGGCCGUUAUUAGUAUAACUUAUCUAUUAGUUAUGUUGUUUUUAAUUCUCCGUGGACAACAGUAAAGAGGUAUUCCUCCACUUUCUCAUAUCAA
RNAcentral lists this long non-coding RNA (240 nucleotides) under Capsicum annuum. RNAcentral describes it as "long non-coding RNA (CANN_LNC020695)". Lineage: Eukaryota; Viridiplantae; Streptophyta; Magnoliopsida; Solanales; Solanaceae. The record is from RNAcentral.